CCAUAGCUCAGUUGGUUAGAGCACCUGACUCAUAAUCAGGGAGUCACUGGUUCAAGCCCAGUUGGG
RNAcentral lists this transfer RNA (66 nucleotides) under Fermentimonas caenicola. It matches the Rfam family "tRNA", at positions 5 to 66 of the family's 71-position model. From Rfam's summary of the family: Transfer RNA (tRNA) molecules are approximately 80 nucleotides in length. Their secondary structure includes four short double-helical elements and three loops (D, anti-codon, and T loops). The record is from RNAcentral. Lineage: Bacteria; Pseudomonadati; Bacteroidota; Bacteroidia; Bacteroidales; Dysgonomonadaceae.